RNAcentral lists this ribosomal RNA (384 nucleotides) under uncultured bacterium. RNAcentral's name for it is "bacterial SSU rRNA". It matches the Rfam family "Bacterial small subunit ribosomal RNA", at positions 28 to 416 of the family's 1533-position model. The record is from RNAcentral.
GACGAACGCUGGCGGCGUGCUUAACACAUGCAAGUCGAACGGUAAGGCCCUUCGGGGUACACGAGUGGCGAACGGGUGAGUAACACGUGGGUGAUCUGCCCUGCACUUCGGGAUAAGCCUGGGAAACUGGGUCUAAUACCGGAUAGGACUCCUGGCUUCAUGGUUGGGGGUGUAAAGCUUUUGCGGUGUGGGAUGGGCCCGCGGCCUAUCAGCUUGUUGGUGGGGUAAUGGCCUACCAAGGCGACGACGGGUAGCCGGCCUGAGAGGGUGACCGGCCACACUGGGACUGAGAUACGGCCCAGACUCCUACGGGAGGCAGCAGUGGGGAAUAUUGCACAAUGGGCGCAAGCCUGAUGCAGCGACGCCGCGUGAGGGAUGACGGCC